CGUGCAGGCGGGGUUGGUAAGUCAGAUGUGAAAGCCCUGGGCUUAACCCAGGAAGUGCAUUUGAAACUGCCAUCCUUGAGUAUGGGAGAGGAGAGUGGAAUUCCCAAUGUAGAGGUGAAAUUCGUAGAUAUUGGGAGGAACACCCGUGGCGAAGGCGACUCUCUGGACCAAUACUGACGCUGAGACGCGAAAGCGUGGGGAGCAAACA
RNAcentral lists this ribosomal RNA (208 nucleotides) under uncultured bacterium. Its description in RNAcentral is "partial 16S ribosomal RNA". It matches the Rfam family "Bacterial small subunit ribosomal RNA", at positions 568 to 774 of the family's 1533-position model. The record is from RNAcentral.